Molecule: non-coding RNA, 490 nt
Organism: Prunus mume (Japanese apricot)
Lineage: Eukaryota; Viridiplantae; Streptophyta; Magnoliopsida; Rosales; Rosaceae
Source: RefSeq, a predicted model, not a curated record
GGCUUUGGACAGGAUGGGAAUGGAUUUAAUAGAAACUGGAAAUCCAGAUGCAUUCAAACAGUAUCUGUCGGAGUUUGAUAACACCAUUCAUUUGUAGAGGAUCAGUAACUUGGGGAUUAUUUUCUGUCUUAUGGCUGGAACUUUUGGUUUUGGCCAUGACUGGCUGGGUGAAGGAGCUUUUGAGGAAUUAUUGUAACAAGAAUUUCAGAAAUUGAGGUUUAUUGAGUUGAUAGAUUGUUGUUUUUCUGGGGCUGAUGAGAACACUCAGACUAAUGGAGGAAAUGAACUUAUUUUUCCAGUUUAUCCAGUCCUUCCGUGCAGAGAUACAAUGCAGCGCUCAAGAACAAAUUCCUAUGAUCUUCUUGCCCAUCUUCCUUCUUCUCUGUCCUUGGACUCUGGCCCAAUGCAACAUUUCACUGGAGCAAGACACCCUGCUUGGUUAUGGCUGCAAUACAAGCUUCCCUGUCAAUAUAAAUGACAUGAGCACUGA